GACUGGGACUCAUACUGGGCCUCAGCUCCCCCUGCCUCUUCCUCUGAGCAGUAGGUUCUGCCUAUCUCUCCAGCUGUCCGUGUCCUAUGGUGCCUGGGCUGAAAGGGACCCACAGGCAUCCUUGUGCCAAGCCAAGGAUGAUGAGGGCUGCUUGGGACCUGGGCACCUGGACUUCAUGGGUGAGUGACGCCAAAGCUUCAAAAACCAUCCUCAAGUCCGCCCAUGUAAUCAGAGCUAUGACAGGGAUGGAAUCUAGCAGCUUCGCCAGCUUCCUCAAGCUUGGUGAGCCCAGAACCAAAGGAGGCCAGGCUCUGUUUACAUUGGCAAAGCUGGAAGGUUCAAGAGAUACCUUAUAUGCACACAGAUUCCACCUAUUGUGGCAGUUGACUCUCAAACAUGAACCCUGAGCUUACACUCAUUUUGCAUCCUGACUAUUACAAGGAAAUUCUUCAGGACAUCCAAUGUGUCUUACUGUUGCUUCAAAGGACCUCCAAAAUAAGCCGCCUUGACCCCAAAGCAGGGGAAGUUGGGAUGGUCUGUCGGAUUUCUCACCAGUCCACACCGCCUUCCCACCCACUGUCCUCCCCUGGUCUCUGUCUUGAUGACUCUACAGAUGCAUCUGAGAAGGCUUCUGUAGAACGACUCAUCGGAUGUGUGAUGACCUUGGCAAGAAAAGCUGAAGCAAAGCCAGAAGCCUCCUGGCUUGGUCUGAGGUGCCUGCACUAAGCAUCGUGUCCUUUCUUCCUCCCACCUCUCAGCUCACAGCUCCCUAGACUUGGCUUCCAUCAUAUCAACUAGUUCCACUGAUGUCAUCAAUGACCUAAGCCACUAAACUUACCUGGUACCCUACUCAGGAUAAAAUUGAACUCCUGGUGUGGUCUGUGGCAUCCUGGCUUCCUGCGCGUCAGUAUAUUAGGUGAGUUUCUUCCAUCAGCCACCCAAACUCUUACAUAUAUCUCCUUCAGAACUCCAUCAGAACUCAGCUGAAAUGCACUUCAGCCAGUUGCUGACCUUUGCUUGGAGUCUGGUGAAAGUACAACAUUCCCCUCCCCCCAUUCCCAAGCCCAUUUCCACUCCGACUGAAUAGGUAACUGACUUAAGGAAAUCAAACUGUAAAACAAGAAACACAUCUAUUUUGAUCUCUCUCUUUCUCUCUCCUUCCCUCCUUCCCUCCCUCUCUCCUUCUCUCCCUCUCUCCCUUCCUCCCCUCCCUCUCUCCCUUUCUUCCCUCCCCCUCUCCUUCUCCUGAUCUAG
This 1254-nucleotide long non-coding RNA is filed under the name Mus musculus (house mouse). RNAcentral describes it as "predicted gene, 33570". Lineage: Eukaryota; Metazoa; Chordata; Mammalia; Rodentia; Muridae. The record is from RNAcentral.